AGCAAAGCUUGAGGGAGGAGAACACAGCUGAGUCAGAGCUUAUCCAUCAUUGGUUGCUGAGCCUCACUGAGAGUAUGUUGUCUGCUGAGAACAAGAUUUACCUGGAGACUGAAAAUUGAAUUGAUCAUGGGUGAGGCAAGUUAGUAAGACUGGCUCGGACAGAGGGAGACCUUCAUCCAUCAGCCUUGGGAGAUAUUCCGGGUGCUUCUCAAACCCCUUCUAUGGAUGUGUAUUUUCUGAACGAAUGCAUGGGUUGCGGACAGCAGGUCAUGGGACAUCUCAGCCUCCAUAAUCAUGAGUGGGAAGAAAAAGAAAAAACAAUUGUUCUCCUUGGUGUGUUGGAUCUUGGGCGGAUAAAGGAACUUCAACUCCUUCGGUGAGAUGGUAGCAGCAGAGAGGUCAGAGAGACCUUGAGGCUUUGUCUUCAGUUGAGCAUGUCAAAACACCAUAUUUUGAUGUUUCUGAGUCCCAACAUGGGAAGUAAGAAGUGUGUUCUACAUUUAGAAUAGAGAAAAAUGUAAUAAAAUUUAAGAAGUACCUACAUAUAUAAGCUACAAUUUUAUUAAAGUGCUG
This 573-nucleotide long non-coding RNA is filed under the name Papio anubis (olive baboon). Its description in RNAcentral is "lncRNA (ENSPANG00000048975.1)". Lineage: Eukaryota; Metazoa; Chordata; Mammalia; Primates; Cercopithecidae. The record is from RNAcentral.